Molecule: ribosomal RNA, 484 nt
Filed under: uncultured bacterium
Lineage: Bacteria
Description: partial 16S ribosomal RNA
Rfam family: Bacterial small subunit ribosomal RNA
Source: RNAcentral
AUUGAACGCUGGCGGAAUGCUUUACACAUGCAAGUCGAGCGGCAGCACGGGGGCAACCCUGGUGGCGAGCGGCGAACGGGUGAGUAAUACAUCGGAACAUGCCCAGUCGUGGGGGAUAACACUUCGAAAGAAGUGCUAAUACCGCAUACGUCCUGAGGGGGAAAGCGGGGGAUCGCAAGACCUCGCGCGAUUGGAGUGGCCGAUGUCAGAUUAGCUAGUUGGUGGGGUAAAGGCCUACCAAGGCAACGAUCUGUAGCUGGUCUGAGAGGAUGAUCAGCCACACUGGGACUGAGACACGGCCCAGACUCCUACGGGAGGCAGCAGUGGGGAAUUUUGGACAAUGGGGGCAACCCUGAUCCAGCCAUUCCGCGUGAGUGAAGAAGGCCUUCGGGUUGUAAAGCUCUUUCGGCAGGAACGAAACGGCGAGCUCUAACAUAGCUUGCUAAUGACGGUACCUGAAGAAGAAGCACCGGCUAACUACGUG